RNAcentral lists this long non-coding RNA (728 nucleotides) under Prunus dulcis (almond). Its description in RNAcentral is "sRNA ncRNA". The record is from RNAcentral. Lineage: Eukaryota; Viridiplantae; Streptophyta; Magnoliopsida; Rosales; Rosaceae.
UUUGGUAAAAAGCUGUUGAAGUGAAUGAGCUUUCUUCUUUUCUUUUCGUCUUUAAAUUGAUUGCAUCAAAGAAUAAUGGCCCACCUAUUAAAGCAAUUCCACUCAUUUGCCAUGGUAAAAGACAAAAGGAGGUAUAUGCUGUUACUAUUCACGCCUCACAUAAAAUUAAGAAUUUUUAUUAUUAUUUUAAUUUUUAAUUUUUUCAUUUGCUCAUGACAGGAACAAUUUAUGUUAAACUACCACGCGUAUAAGAAAUAAAAUAGUACUAUACAUCAAAAAAAGAAAAAAAGAAAAAAAGAAAAAAGAAAAAGAGGCCUAGCAAGCGAGGGAUAUUGAAUGAUCAAUACUCGUUGCCGAAGUCACAAAAUCCGACAGUAUUCUUGGCCUGGUUCCUCUGAAUUUUAAUAUCUUCAAAGGUGAAAACAAGAUUGGAGCCGCCAUCCUGCUUGUCAGUGGAGCCCGCGGUCUUCUUGUUGCCGAAGUUAAAUACUCCAACGGUUUCGCCUUUGUUGUCGCAGAUUUCGUUCCCCCGAAAGUUGAAAGCUUUGGAUCCUUUUCCUUUGGGAUUAUUAGAAUUAGUGUUAGAAGCAGGCUCUGGAUCAUUUCUUUUGGUUGCGGAAGUCUCUUCUGGAUUAGUUUUGGGAAGGCAGAAACAAGUUGUCAUUAUGUGGUCUCAGUUUGGAGGUUAAUUGGAGGCUCAAAAUGAAGUACAGAGGUUGAUAAUUUGC